Molecule: transfer RNA, 71 nt
Filed under: Ips acuminatus
Lineage: Eukaryota; Metazoa; Arthropoda; Insecta; Coleoptera; Curculionidae
Description: tRNA-Arg
Source: RNAcentral
UAAUUCUGACGGAAAACAAAAAAUUGUAUUUAAUUUCGGCUUAAACUUGUGGUAAUAAUUACCUCCGUUAA